GCCCAGUUAGCUCAUUUGGUAGAGCAUGAGAUUACCAGAGUCAUGGGUUCUUGCCCCACACUGGGCG
RNAcentral lists this transfer RNA (67 nucleotides) under Ovis aries (sheep). It matches the Rfam family "tRNA". From Rfam's summary of the family: Transfer RNA (tRNA) molecules are approximately 80 nucleotides in length. Their secondary structure includes four short double-helical elements and three loops (D, anti-codon, and T loops). The record is from Rfam by way of RNAcentral. Lineage: Eukaryota; Metazoa; Chordata; Mammalia; Artiodactyla; Bovidae.